This 472-nucleotide ribosomal RNA is filed under the name Enterococcus faecium. Its description in RNAcentral is "bacterial SSU rRNA". It matches the Rfam family "Bacterial small subunit ribosomal RNA", at positions 1 to 450 of the family's 1533-position model. The record is from RNAcentral. Lineage: Bacteria; Bacillati; Bacillota; Bacilli; Lactobacillales; Enterococcaceae.
UUUUAUGAGAGUUUGAUCCUGGCUCAGGACGAACGCUGGCGGCGUGCCUAAUACAUGCAAGUCGAACGCUUCUUUUUCCACCGGAGCUUGCUCCACCGGAAAAAGAGGAGUGGCGAACGGGUGAGUAACACGUGGGUAACCUGCCCAUCAGAAGGGGAUAACACUUGGAAACAGGUGCUAAUACCGUAUAACAAUCGAAACCGCAUGGUUUUGAUUUGAAAGGCGCUUUCGGGUGUCGCUGAUGGAUGGACCCGCGGUGCAUUAGCUAGUUGGUGAGGUAACGGCUCACCAAGGCCACGAUGCAUAGGCCGACCUGAGAGGGUGAUCGGCCACAUUGGGACUGAGACACGGCCCAAACUCCUACGGGAGGCAGCAGUAGGGAAUCUUCGGCAAUGGACGAAAGUCUGACCGAGCAACGCCGCGUGAGUGAAGAAGGUUUUCGGAUCGUAAAACUCUGUUGUUAGAGAAGAAC